Molecule: ribosomal RNA, 637 nt
Filed under: uncultured bacterium
Lineage: Bacteria
Description: bacterial SSU rRNA
Rfam family: Bacterial small subunit ribosomal RNA
Source: RNAcentral
GCUUAACCGAAGAAGUGCAUCGGAAACUGGGUGACUUGAGUGCAGAAGAGGACAGUGGAACUCCAUGUGUAGCGGUGGAAUGCGUAGAUAUAUGGAAGAACACCAGUGGCGAAGGCGGCUGUCUGGUCUGCAACUGACGCUGAGGCUCGAAAGCAUGGGUAGCGAACAGGAUUAGAUACCCUGGUAGUCCAUGCCGUAAACGAUGAGUGCUAGGUGUUGGAGGGUUUCCGCCCUUCAGUGCCGGAGCUAACGCAUUAAGCACUCCGCCUGGGGAGUACGACCGCAAGGUUGAAACUCAAAGGAAUUGACGGGGGCCCGCACAAGCGGUGGAGCAUGUGGUUUAAUUCGAAGCUACGCGAAGAACCUUACCAGGUCUUGACAUCUUGCGCUAACCUAAGAGAUUAGGCGUUCCCUUCGGGGACGCAAUGACAGGUGGUGCAUGGUCGUCGUCAGCUCGUGUCGUGAGAUGUUGGGUUAAGUCCCGCAACGAGCGCAACCCUUGUUACUAGUUGCCAGCAUUCAGUUGGGCACUCUAGUGAGACUGCCGGUGACAAACCGGAGGAAGGUGGGGAUGACGUCAGAUCAUCAUGCCCCUUAUGACCUGGGCUACACACGUGCUACAAUGGUCGGUACAACG